CCCGCCACUGUUACCCCCCGCAAAACUCAAGAACUCCUCCUCUCUCUCAACAAGCCCCACUCUAAGGACCGCCACAAGAAGGUGGAAGGCCGUGGCACCCGUGUACGUAUCCCGGCGGACUGUGCAGCACGUAUCUUCCAACUGACCCGGGAGCUCGGCCACCGCACCAGUGGCCAGACCAUUGAGUGGCUUCUCGACCACGUGCCUGCCUCUCACUUUCCCACCGCCACCACCGCUGCGGCCACCAGUUCUGAUAAUAUAGCAGUUGCAACUAAUUCUACACUCUGUGUUUCGCCUUCAGAAAACAGUAAUGCUGCUUGUAAUUCUGCUAGUUCUUUGCCUCGUUCAAAAAAGAAGAUAUCAGGAUCAAAGAAGAGUAAUACGCCUUUGCAUGAUUCUGUAAAUUCUCGUGCUUCUCUAUCUGGUGGGUUCUUUCCUACUUCUAAUUCUUUGGAUGCUUCAACUUUAUCAGCACCCACAAGAGAAGAAACAGAAAUAGCGAGAAUUCCAAUGGCAGUGGUGGAGCCAGAGAGGAAAAAAGAGGAUUUGAGGGGUGAAUUUGAUUUGUUUCCUGGUGCAGAUGGGAGUUUGCCCAACAUGUCUUUCACUUCCUUGUUGAUGCAGUUGGAGAGGGAGUGAUUAAUGAUGAUGGAUGGGUUCCACAACCUUCUGUUUGAUUUUUAUUUUUUAAAUUGCUCUGCUCUCUGUUCUUAGGUGCAAAUAGGCUAACUUAUAAUCUAGUUUAAGUAUAUAGAAUUGCCAUUCUUGGCCUUUUUCUGUGUUGGAUAACUUAGUAACAUGUAGUAGUUUAUGGGGAUGAAAAGUUUACCCUUUUUGGUCUGUUGAUAAUUGAUCUUGUAGCCCUGGUUGUAGCUUUUUUUAAUAGUGCUUUUGAUUCUCCAGACAAAUAUACAUAUUAUUAAGUUGAAGAAUAUCUGUGGAAAUCAAUGUGAAGAUCUCAAAUUUGCAGACUCGUGUAUUUCAUGGAAUCUGGUUAAUAGUCUAUUCACUGCUCUGUUGAAACAGCUGAGAAGUUGUUGAGAUCUUGUAGCAUGCAAGAAUGUGUUCAAGUUAGAGGAGAUCAUUACGAGAAGUAAAAUUCUACAUCUUCUGGUUCUUUAACCGCAGAGGAAGGAUGCAUAUUAAUUUGAAGAUGAAUCAUAGAUCGAAUUGAACUGGCUUACACAUACAUAUUCUCUGUAAUAAUAAUUAUCUUAAUUUCCAACAACUGGAUGAAAAAAACUUACCGUCAUUGCUGUUGUGAGGUUAAGCAGAUAGGAUAGUAUUUGCAGAUGAAUCUAUAUUGCUUUACUAGGAAAAUUAAUCUAUAUGAGGACAUUCAUUGUCUUAACUUUCUAACUUGAUGGGCAAAUCAAUAUAAGACCAGAAG
This 1390-nucleotide unclassified non-coding RNA is filed under the name Hevea brasiliensis (rubber tree). The record is from RNAcentral. Lineage: Eukaryota; Viridiplantae; Streptophyta; Magnoliopsida; Malpighiales; Euphorbiaceae.